UACGUAUGGAGCAAGCGUUAUCCGGAUUUACUGGGUGUAAAGGGGGCGCAGACGGUGAUGCAAGUCUGAAGUGUAACCCCACGGCUCAACCGUGGGCUUGCUUUGGAAACUGUAUAACUAGAGUGCCGGAGAGGCAAGCGGAAUUCCUGGUGUAGCGGUGAAAUGCGUAGAUAUCAGGAAGAACAUCGGUGGCGAAGGCGGCUUGCUGGACGGUAACUGACGUUGAGGCCCGAAGGCGUGGGGAGCAAAC
This 250-nucleotide ribosomal RNA is filed under the name uncultured prokaryote. RNAcentral describes it as "partial 16S ribosomal RNA". It matches the Rfam family "Bacterial small subunit ribosomal RNA", at positions 524 to 773 of the family's 1533-position model. The record is from RNAcentral.